AGAAUCCUGCAGAUAUGUUGACGAAGGUCGUCACGGUGGAGAAGCUGAGGAGUUGUUCAGCUUCUGCUGGUCUUCAUGCUUGAAGACGUUGAGGAGGCAUCGUACCGAUUUCAUUAGGAUGAUCCAGUUUCGGUGGGAGCACAGAGGAGAACCAAGUAACAAGAGGACAUACCCAAGGUCUCCAAGUGGGAGAUUGUUGGGGUAUGUGGAGACCUUUGGUGAUGAAGAGAAUUGAAGGAGAAUCAAUUCUGCAUAGUUCCGUCUGGCGGACUGUCAGAGUCGACUCGGGCUACAGUCGAGUCGACUCGGGAACAGUCGAGUCGACUCGAGGUCUGUCGAGUCGACCCGAGAAGAGAAAAGCCGCAAAAACCAUGUUUCUGUUUGGACUNNNNNNNNNNNNNNNNNNNNAGGGGAGAACCAAGUAACAAGAGGAUAUACCCAAGGUCUCCAAGUGGGAGAUUGUUGGGGUAUGUGGAGACCUUUGGUGAUGAAGAGAAUUGAAGGAGAAUCAAUUCU
Molecule: long non-coding RNA, 516 nt
Filed under: Phoenix dactylifera (date palm)
Lineage: Eukaryota; Viridiplantae; Streptophyta; Magnoliopsida; Arecales; Arecaceae
Description: long non-coding RNA (PDAC_LNC006364)
Source: RNAcentral